This 82-nucleotide transfer RNA is filed under the name Bacteroidales bacterium. Its description in RNAcentral is "tRNA-Leu". It matches the Rfam family "tRNA". Rfam says of the family: Transfer RNA (tRNA) molecules are approximately 80 nucleotides in length. Their secondary structure includes four short double-helical elements and three loops (D, anti-codon, and T loops). Further hydrogen bonds mediate the characteristic L-shaped molecular structure. tRNAs have two regions of fundamental functional importance: the anti-codon, which is responsible for specific mRNA codon recognition, and the 3' end, to which the tRNAs corresponding amino acid is attached (by aminoacyl-tRNA synthetases). tRNAs cope with the degeneracy of the genetic code in two manners: having more than one tRNA (with a specific anti-codon) for a particular amino acid; and 'wobble' base-pairing, i.e. permitting non-standard base-pairing at the 3rd anti-codon position. Lineage: Bacteria; Pseudomonadati; Bacteroidota; Bacteroidia; Bacteroidales. The record is from RNAcentral.
GCGGGUGUGGCGGAACUGGCAGACGCGUCAGACUUAGGAUCUGGUGCCGCAAGGCGUGGGGGUUCGAGUCCCUUCACCCGCA